RNAcentral lists this ribosomal RNA (503 nucleotides) under uncultured bacterium. Its description in RNAcentral is "partial 16S ribosomal RNA". It matches the Rfam family "Bacterial small subunit ribosomal RNA", at positions 28 to 523 of the family's 1533-position model. The record is from RNAcentral.
GAUGAACGCUGGCGGCGUGCCUAAUACAUGCAAGUCGAACGAAGAUCUAGCUUGCUAGAUCUUAGUGGCGAACGGGUGAGUAAUACAUAAAUAAUCUGCCCAUAUGACUGGGAUAACUAUUGGAAACGAUAGCUAAUACCGGAUAGGUUGAUUGGAGGCAUCUCUGAUUACUUAAAGUAGGAUUUCUACACAAAUGGAUGAGUUUAUGGCGCAUUAGUUAGUUGGUGGGGUAACGGCCUACCAAGACGAUGAUGCGUAGCCGAGCUGAGAGGGUGACCGGCCACACUGGGACUGAGACACGGCCCAGACCCCUACGGGAGGCAGCAGUAGGGAAUUUUCGGCAAUGGGCGCAAGCCUGACCGAGCAACGCCGCGUGAGUGAUUAAGGCCUUCGGGUUGUAAAGCUCUGUUGUAAGGGAAGAACAUUCAGGAUAGGAAAUGAUCUUGAACUGACGGUACCUUACCAGAAAGCCACGGCUAACUACGUGCCAGCCGCCGCCGUAA